Molecule: ribosomal RNA, 468 nt
Filed under: uncultured bacterium
Lineage: Bacteria
Description: partial 16S ribosomal RNA
Rfam family: Bacterial small subunit ribosomal RNA
Source: RNAcentral
GACGAACGCUGGCGGCGUGCUUAACACAUGCAAGUCGAACGGAAAGGCCCUGCUUUUGUUGCGUGCUCGUUUGGCGAACGGGUGAGUAACACAUGAGUAACCUGCCCUUGACUUUGGGAUAACUUCAGGAAACUGGGGCGAUUACCGGAUAUGAUCUCCUGCUGCAUGGUGGUGAUUGGAAAGUGUCGGCGGUUGGGGCUGGACUCGCGGCUUAUCAGCUUCUUUGUGGGGUAGUGGCUGACAACGGCUUUGACGGGUAGGCGGCCUGAGAGGUGGAACGGGGUCAUGGGGACUGCGAGACGGAGCAGAAGCGUACGGUAGGCAGCAGUGGGGAACAUUGCAGAAUGGGGGGGAGCGUGAUGCAGCAACGCCGCGUGCGGGAUGAUGGCCUUCGGGUUGUAAACCGCUGUCGCCGGUGACGAAGAGUGAGUGACGGUAAUGGGUAAAGAAGCCCCGGCUAACUACGUG